ACUCCUACGGGAGGCAGCAGUAGGGAAUUUCCGCAAUGGACGAAAGUCUGACGGAGCAAUGCCGCGUGAGUGAUGAAGGUUUUCGAAUCGUAAAGCUCUGUUGUAAGGGAAGAAUAGCAAGAAUAGGGAAAUGAUUCUAUGUCUGACGGUACCGUUACCUACGAAAGACCACGGCUAACUACGUGCCAGCAGCCGCGGUAAUACGUAGGUGGCAAGCGUUAUCCGGAAUUAUUGGGCGUAAAGCGCAUGUAGGCGGCUUUUUAAGUCUGAUGUGAAAGCCAGUGGCUCAACCACUGAAUUGCAUUGGAUACUGGAAAGCUAGAAUCUUGGAGAGGUAAGUGGAAUUUCAUGUGUAGCGGUGGAAUGCGUAGAUAUAUGAAGGAACACCAAUGGCGAAGGCAGCUUACUGGACAAGUAUUGACGCUGAGAUGCGAAAGUGUGGUAGCAAACAGGAUUAGAUACCCUGGUAGGCUCUG
RNAcentral lists this ribosomal RNA (476 nucleotides) under uncultured bacterium. Its description in RNAcentral is "bacterial SSU rRNA". It matches the Rfam family "Bacterial small subunit ribosomal RNA", at positions 335 to 799 of the family's 1533-position model. The record is from RNAcentral.